GGGAUUGUAGCUUAGUUGGGAGAGCGCUUGCUUUGCAAGCAAGAGGUCGUGGGUUCGAAUCCCACCAGUUCCACCA
RNAcentral lists this transfer RNA (76 nucleotides) under Bacillus cereus. Its description in RNAcentral is "tRNA-Ala". It matches the Rfam family "tRNA". Rfam says of the family: Transfer RNA (tRNA) molecules are approximately 80 nucleotides in length. Their secondary structure includes four short double-helical elements and three loops (D, anti-codon, and T loops). RNAcentral also lists the same sequence under 1 other name. Lineage: Bacteria; Bacillati; Bacillota; Bacilli; Caryophanales; Bacillaceae. The record is from RNAcentral.